RNAcentral lists this ribosomal RNA (572 nucleotides) under uncultured bacterium. RNAcentral's name for it is "bacterial SSU rRNA". It matches the Rfam family "Bacterial small subunit ribosomal RNA", at positions 119 to 674 of the family's 1533-position model. The record is from RNAcentral.
GGAUAAUCUACCCUUUGGAUUGGAAUAACCUGUCGAAAGACGGGCUAAUGCCAAGUAAGCUUACGAGUUCGUGAAGUUCUUGUAAGGAAAGAUGGUGCAAGCUAUCGCCGAAGGAUGAGUCUGCGUCCCAUUAGUUAGUUGGUGGGGUAAUGGCUUACCAAGACUAUGAUGGGUACCUGGUCUGAGAGGAUGACCAGGCACACUGGAACUGAAACACGGUCCAGACUCCUACGGGAGGCAGCAGUAGGGAAUAUUGCGCAAUGGACGAAAGUCUGACGCAGCCACGCCGCGUGAGUGAGGAAGGCCUUCGGGUUGUAAAGCUCUGUCAUUCGGGAAAAAUAGCCAUCCGGGGAAAGUUCGGGUGGUUUGAUGGUACCGAAGGAGGAAGCACCGGCAAACUCUGUGCCAGCAGCCGCGGUAAUACAGAGGGUGCAAGCGUUGUUCGGAAUUACUGGGCGUAAAGCGUGCGUAGUCGGUAUUGAGAGUCACGGGUGAAAUCCCCAAGCUUAACUUGGGAACUGCCUGUGAGACCUCAGUACUAGAGUGUGAGAGGGGAUAGUGGAAUACCCAGU